This is a long non-coding RNA of Phyllopteryx taeniolatus (common seadragon), 1824 nucleotides long. RefSeq lists it as uncharacterized. The record is from RefSeq and is a predicted model, not a curated record. The transcript has 4 exons. NCBI's taxonomy places the organism in Eukaryota, Metazoa, Chordata, Actinopteri, Syngnathiformes, Syngnathidae.
GCAGAAGACGCUUGACCUAAGUGUUUGUUAUUGUUAAUUGAAGGAGGCGAAGAAGAAAAAGAAAACUAAUACGGCUGAAGCUAACGUUCUGCAAACGCGAUCUCAAGGGGGACAUCAAGGUGACCAGAUCAGCACCAGGUUCUUUUUCGGCACAAGUCAGCCAGGUGCACCAUCAGGGGACCACCAGUCAGUCAAAUACAUCCGGAUUUGUUGCCUGGCUCGGUCCAUCUUCUCCGGCCACCCGUCACUUCAGAUCAUUCUGGACUGGGCAUCGUAUCUAAAUUGCUUUGCGUGCUGGAGGACAGCGCUUGGGCCAGGUUUCCUGGAGCGACCAGACCAAGCUAUUAUUUGACUUUUCAAGCUUUUGGCAAAACUUUCUGGUCUUUCCACUGAGAGAGAACCUCUUGACCUCCGCAAAUCACCAAAGUGGUCUUGUUCUGGAAAGGUGGCCCGUGAUUCUACAGGGACUUCAUCCAAAUGAAUCAGCGCAAACCAACCAUUUUAACUUUAGCUUGCCGGUUGCUAUGGUAGCAACGCAAUGCUAAUUAACGUAGAAUGAUUACUGGCGAGGUCGAACUGUUGACAAAAGUGACGAUGAUUCAUAGAGGAUGAGAGAUGGUGGCCACUUUGAUUUCAUUCAGUGAUUAUUGCCCAAAAACAUCAUCAACAUUUGCAUAAGAUAAUUUUAUGGAAAGAUUUGGCAUGGGUAUAUCUUUAGGGGCAAAAAUAAAAGCCACGCGUUGGUAGAGGUAAGACUUUCCUUCCUGUUUUCGAUCUUUAGGACCUCACACCAAUGUUUACCUCUAUUUUAUUUUGGUCCAGGAGCUUAAUUUGCCAUUAAAAUUGUGUCAUGUUUGAAAUCACCACCCCGGAUCUCUUGAAGUAGCCGACUAUGUGGGCUGCGGCUGUUGCCGCUGCUACCCUUCAAACAUGGAGUGAACCCUUUGAAAAAUGGAUUGUAGAAGAGAUAAGGAAUAAUUUAUGUUUCUAUCACUGCCUCGCACAAAUAUGGUGGGGAAUGCAGUGCCAAUAACUCCCACAAACUCAGAGAGGCACGCUAUCUUUUACAGCACAAAUUAUUAACAGCGCAGGGGAGGAGGCGGGCUGCAUUUCUGGGGGGCGGGGGGAGCUCCAGAGAUCUGACUGGACCGCUUUAUUAUGAACUAUAAUGCGGCGGUAUCGCUGUUUAAAAGUAAACAUCCAAUAAAGUAUCAUGUAAGAUGCAGCAACAUCACAAAUAAUGUGAAGCGUGUGUUUGUGUGUGUGUGCUUGGGUGUUCCAUGUGCUAUGUGUGUGUGUGUGUGUGUAUGAUUGGCGAAUAAAAGAGGGGAGUGAAAAGGGGGGUGUCGAGGGAGGAUACCCGGGGUCGGGUGUCCGCUCGCCUCUGUCGACCGGCGUUGACAGCUACAGACUGCCGAUCUAAAAUGAGAAUCCUCAUGGGCCGCCUGCCUGCCCAUCCAGCAAGAAAAUAAAUCCCAUGUGGAAAAGGACGCAGUGCGGGAUCACAGACAGCCGCCUGACCCCUCAGAUCCGUCGGGGGAGGCGCAGGGCGCCGGCACGACACCGUGACCCCCGCACCCCGCCGUCGCCGCCGCCUCCUCUUACAGCCCCCUCACUGAUCUUGUGUUUCCUUGGUUCGCCGACGCUCAAAUUCACAACUUUGUUGAUCCAACACCACGUAGCCGUUUUGUCGAAAAUCCGAGUAUGUCGUUUACGUGACUACAACCAAGCACAAUUGGGAAAGUAUUCUGUUGAAUUUCUGAAAUGUUUCGUGUAGAAAUAAAUAUGUUGUCAAAACCAUGAUUCUAAACACUGUAAUAUGCA